This 269-nucleotide ribosomal RNA is filed under the name uncultured prokaryote. RNAcentral describes it as "partial 16S ribosomal RNA". It matches the Rfam family "Bacterial small subunit ribosomal RNA", at positions 524 to 792 of the family's 1533-position model. The record is from RNAcentral.
UACGUAGGAUGCAAGCGUUAUUCGGAUUUACUGGGCGUAAAGAGGGCGUAGGCGGCCUUUCAAGUCGGAUGUGAAAUCUCCUGGCUUAACCGGGAGGGGCCAUCCGAAACUGCUAGGCUAGAGGACAGCAAGAGGAGGUGGAAUUCCCGGUGUAGUGGUGAUAUGCGUAGAUAUCGGGAGGAACACCAGUGGCGAAGGCGGCCUCCUGGGCUGUUUCUGACGCUGAGGCCCGAAAGUGUGGGGAGCGAACAGGAUUAGAUACCCUCGUA